This 498-nucleotide ribosomal RNA is filed under the name uncultured Glomeromycotina. RNAcentral describes it as "partial small subunit ribosomal RNA". It matches the Rfam family "Eukaryotic small subunit ribosomal RNA", at positions 591 to 1092 of the family's 1831-position model. The record is from RNAcentral. Lineage: Eukaryota; Fungi; Glomeromycota.
CCAAUAGCGUAUAUUAAAGUUGUUGCAGUUAAAAAGCUCGUAGUUGAACUUCAGGCCUGGCUGGGCGGUCCGCCUUCCGGGCGAGUACUGCCUGUGGUCGGGUCCUACCUUCUGGCGAAGCGUCAUGGCCUUAACCGGCCGUGGCGGGGAACCAGGACUUUUACUGUGAAAAAAUUAGAGUGUUCAAAGCAGGCACGCGCUUGAAUACAUUAGCAUGGCAUAAUGGAAUAGGACAGUGGUUCUAUUUGUUGGUUUCUAGGACCGUUGUAAUGAUUAAUAGGGAUAGUUGGGGGCAUUAGUAUUCAAUUGUCAGAGGUGAAAUUCUUGGAUUUAUUGAAGACUAACUACUGCGAAAGCAUUUGCCAAGGAUGUUUUCAUUAAUCAAGAACGAAAGUUAGGGGAUCGAAGACGGUCAGAUACCGUCGUAGUCUUAACCAUAAACUAUGCCGACUAGGGAUCGGAUGAUGUUAUUUUUAAUGACUCAUUCGGCGCCUUACG